CCGGUUGUGAUGGCGCCCAGCACACUACUAGGCAAGCCCGACCAUUAUUCAACACUUAACCCAAUUUAUCAAAAAUAGCGGAAAAAAAUAUCAAUUAAGCAAGAUUAAAGUACUGAAGAUUUUAACAAAAUACACAAUAUAAUCUCACUAGGACCCGGUGUCACAAAUCUGAGCCUCUAGAAUACAGAAUAUCAUCCUAAUACAUGGUAUAUCCAAAGUCUGAUAAUGCGGAAGUAAAGAGAUAGGAUAGGAGGGAGAAGAUCAAUGGCUGCAAACGCCGUGCAGCUACCUCGAUACUCCCAGAGGUUGGAUCUGCUGAUCAACUGGAUCUACUGAGCCUGAGACUGCCCUGGAUCUGCACACAAGGUGCAGGGAGUAAAGUGAGUACUCCGACCUAGUGAGUAAUAAAAGUAACUACAUUCCGAAGAUAAGAAAAUCCAGUAAAUACACAAAGUAAGCUAAAAUCCAAAUAUACAGCAACAUAUGGGACUGAGCAGCUAAACACCAGUAUAAAUACAAAUACAUGAAUGCAAUGCAAUGCAUAUGAUGGUACAUUCCAGUACCCCACUGCGGCGUGCAGCCCGGGCCAUCCAUAUUUAUUUAUCGUUGACGACGCUCACUGGGGGUGUGUACAGACUCCGGAGGGGCUCCUACAGCCCAAGCGCAAUAUUUUGGUCAGUCAUUGUUACCUGACCGGUCAGCCAUUGUUAUCUGACCAAUUUAUAUCAUACAGUGCCAUUGUUACCACUGAUUAAGUAUAUCAUCCAGUGUCAUUGUUACCACUAUUUCAAGUAUAUCACACAGUGUCAUUGUUACCACUGUGUCAAGUAUAUCAUACAGUGUCAUUGUUACCACUGUGUCAAGUCACUUUAUAAUCAGUCCAGAAAAUAAUAUAAUAAGCCCCUUGGGCAUUUACAAAACAGAAGUUCCCAGCCCGGAAUACAUUUAAAACCUUGGAAUGAAAUUAAAUGAUAUGCAAAUCAUGCUAAGCAGUAAUAUCAAUCCUCGAAGGAUUUUACAAAUCGGCACAAGGCCCCAAACAUGGCAUCAAGCUCAGUAAUAUCAAUGAAGUAUGUGUAUCAAUCACCAGUAUAGUAUAAACAUCACACGGGGUGGACCAAGUCACAAUCCCAAGUAGUAUUCGACCCCGCACUCGCCAUGGAGUGCGUGUCAUGCCUCAAUAUAGCAUUACGAUGUGAAAGUCCGGGGUUUCAAACCCUCAGAAUAGCAUUUACAUCUAUUACUCACCUCUAACCGGUCGUAGACUAGUCCGCAAUGCCUUUCCUCUUGAAUCGACUUCUUCGCGCGUCGAAUCUAGUCAAAACCACAACGAAUACGUUACAAUAGGCUAAGGGAAUAUAACCCAAUCGAAAAGACUCGAACAAUGUCAAAAAUCCCGAAAUUAGCAAAACCCGAGCCCCG
RNAcentral lists this long non-coding RNA (1422 nucleotides) under Nicotiana tabacum (common tobacco). RNAcentral's name for it is "long non-coding RNA (NTAB_LNC008977)". The record is from RNAcentral. Lineage: Eukaryota; Viridiplantae; Streptophyta; Magnoliopsida; Solanales; Solanaceae.